UUUCAGGCAGGCAGCAGAUUUGCCCUCUUUCCUUCCCCGGAGGAGAUUAGAUUGGCCCCCUCCCCCACUUCAAACCGACGGAGAAAGCCACAUCAAUUCGACAAACACUCGCAGGGCAAGAACAUCCCAGCCCCGAUCAGAACCCUAUCUCAAAGACGACCAGGGGACGAAACCGAGAUCGGCGAUCUCUCAGGCUCGAAGUGUACGGCUUCCGCCAGGACCUCGCCGCAUUCCGUCUCCACCAAUCGCAGGAACUGAACGCGAAAUCGGCAACCUCCGAGGGUGAAAUCCUUCCACGCCCAUAUUACGGAGGAACAAACCCGUCCCCCCCAUUCGCCGGAUCGUCAGAGGCGAAAAUCAAGACCCCAAAUCACCAGAAUCCCUGGAAAAACGCAGCAAACCGACGGGCAGGAGGGGUCGGCCGACUUACAGGGGGCGGCGGCGGAGUCGCCGGAGCGAAACCAGAGAGCAUCAGGGAGAGGAGAUCAUAAAUUCCGGCGAGUUGGUCGUAUUCCCGGAGGCGUCGGCGGAGGAGGAAGAAGGUGG
RNAcentral lists this long non-coding RNA (546 nucleotides) under Spirodela polyrhiza (greater duckweed). RNAcentral describes it as "long non-coding RNA (SPOL_LNC000189)". The record is from RNAcentral. Lineage: Eukaryota; Viridiplantae; Streptophyta; Magnoliopsida; Alismatales; Araceae.